This 433-nucleotide unclassified non-coding RNA is filed under the name soil metagenome. RNAcentral describes it as "partial contains 5.8S ribosomal RNA, internal transcribed spacer 2, and large subunit ribosomal RNA". The stretch from base 1 to 120 matches the Rfam family "5.8S ribosomal RNA", at positions 35 to 154 of the family's 154-position model. The record is from RNAcentral.
GAUGAAGAACGUAGCGAAAUGCGAUACGUAAUGUGAAUUGCAGAAUUCAGUGAAUCAUCGAAUCUUUGAACGCAUAUUGCGCUCUCUGGUAUUCCGGAGAGCAUGCUUGUUUGAGUAUCAGUAAACACCUCAACUCCCCUUUCUUUUUUUGAAAUGGGAGCUGGACUUGAGUGAUCCCAACGCUUUUCUCACCGAAAAGUGGCGGGUUACUUGAAAUGCAGGUGCAGCUGGACUUUUCUCUGAGCUAAAAGUAUAUCUAUUUAGUCUGCCUAAAAAACAGAUUAUUACCUUUGCUGCAGCUAACAUAAAGGAGAUUAGUUCUUGUGCUGACUGAUGCAGGAUUCACAGAGACAGCUUCGGCUGGCCUUUGUAAACUCGAUCUCAAAUCAAGUAAGACUACCCGCUGAACUUAAGCAUAUCAAUAAGCGGAGGA